GCCAAAAUUGUUGCAACCCAGAGCGAUAUGUUAACAAAGAAUAACGGUACCUCUAGUUCGCUUUCCAAUCUAGUCAACAAAGAGUCGAGUGCCCUAGCGUCACGGCUAGCAACAAACGAGUAAAAUGUCUAUUAAUGUUCCUCUGCAUCAUCGGUAAAAUGAGAAAUUUCAUAUCCCCUACGGUGUGUGCCAAGCUGCUGUUAUAUUGGCCUAUCGCUUUUCAAAUCUGGCAAAUUGGGCCAGCAAUGUUUCCCGACUUGGUAAAUUAUGCCAAGUACAAUGUGUUGAACACGAUAUUUUCUUGUCCAUCUUCAAGUAAUCACCUGUGAAACGAGCUGAGCUGAAGGAAUUGAUUCGGUGUUCUACUCCUUGGCACGGAGCGGGAAGCUGCGAUGAGUUCUUCUCAGUAAACAAUAGCCCUAUUCGAAUCAUAUUGCCCAAUAUGGAAAAUGGGCAAAACUAAGGUGAGAAAAAUCUUUAUGGCAUCAUUAUUGCGUCUCUGAACUUGCCCGACGUCUGCUGUUGAUGAAUAUCCUGAAUUGAGUUGAAAAGGAAAAGUUCAUGCCCCGUCUGCACACACCUACUCGUACGUUACAUAGAAAGUGCCGCUAAAGCAAAAAUAACGUUUUGCGUGAGAACUGUUGCGUAUUUGUAAGUUGGCAUGAAUAUGUUUGUAAAUUGAUUUUCCUAAGUUUAUUUCAGGUCGGAUAACGUCCACAAUGCGCUAGGAGAGAGUGCAGUAUAUUGUAUAGCCAACAGAUGGGACUAGCCACCAAACCCAUAGUGAACUCGCUUUGGUACAAACGUUUUUUGAUAAAAAAUCAUGGCACUGGUAACGCGGUAUAAAAAUGAUCACCGAGUUGAUAGAACACGUUCGCUUGAUGAAAUUAUUAAUGCGAACAUAACCAAAUGGUUGAGCACAGCUCAAUAAUGUUCACGCACAAUUUCUGUUUACUAUAUCUUACAAUUUUUGCUAGGGCAAUGUAUAAACGUUGAGCAGAUAGUCUAUUGCGCUCGGUACAUGACAACUACACAAGUAUUAACAUUGGAUAUAUCGAUUUGUGUUACUUUACUCGUUAGUUCAGGCUUUUCUAGUUUUAUUUUUAGAUACCCUUCAGCUGCUAUUGUGUACUGUUCUGGUAUGGAAAAUGUUAACUUUCGACUAGCACUACUCAAAGGUUAUCGAAAAGUGAGCCUUUUUCGGAAUCGUUCGAUAAAACUAUAAACAAAUAGGGAAAGGGUAGAUCUAAUAGUAAAAAGACAGAUGUGGCCAUCAGCC
Molecule: long non-coding RNA, 1279 nt
Organism: Varroa destructor (honeybee mite)
Lineage: Eukaryota; Metazoa; Arthropoda; Arachnida; Mesostigmata; Varroidae
Source: RefSeq, a predicted model, not a curated record